AUUGAACGCUGGCGGCAGGCCUAACACAUGCAAGUCGAGCGAGAGGCGGGCGGGGGAGUGAUAUGUGGGGACUGCCCGAUAGAGGGGGGGAACAACUGGAAACGCUGGCGAAUACCGCAUACUGUCGGAGAGCACCUAUGGGAUUAGCUAGUAGGUAAGGUAAUGGCUUACCUAGGCGACGAUCCCUAGCUGGUCUGAGAGGAUGAUCAGCCACACUGGGACUGAGACACGGCCCAGACUCCUACGGAGGCAGCAGUGGGGAAUAUUGCACAAUGGGCGCAAGCCUGAUGCAGCCAUGCCGCGUGUAUGAAGAAGGCCCUAGGGUUGUAAAGUACUUUCAGUCGGGAGGCGUUACCGACAGAAGAAGCACCGGCUAACUCCGUGCCAGCAGCCGCGGUAAUAC
Molecule: ribosomal RNA, 403 nt
Filed under: uncultured bacterium
Lineage: Bacteria
Description: partial 16S ribosomal RNA
Rfam family: Bacterial small subunit ribosomal RNA
Source: RNAcentral